AAUGAAAUGCCUGAUAAAAGGAUUAUUUUGAUAGAAUAAAUUAUGUAUAAACUAUACUUUCAUUA
Molecule: transfer RNA, 65 nt
Filed under: Platisus bicolor
Lineage: Eukaryota; Metazoa; Arthropoda; Insecta; Coleoptera; Cucujidae
Description: tRNA-Ile
Source: RNAcentral